RNAcentral lists this long non-coding RNA (1313 nucleotides) under Anas platyrhynchos platyrhynchos (common mallard). Its description in RNAcentral is "lncRNA (ENSAPLG00000022502.1)". Lineage: Eukaryota; Metazoa; Chordata; Aves; Anseriformes; Anatidae. The record is from RNAcentral.
UUAACCACUUUACUUAUUGCUUUGAUUUUUUUCUUAACUAAAUCUGUAGUACUUCUGCUGUGCUACUUUUUUUUUUUUUUUUUUUAAAUCCUCCCACUUUUGCUUUGGUAAGGGUGUCCCAGCUUGAGAAUAAAGUUUCUCUUUGAAUUGGUAAAUGCUAUUUUAGGUGUACAGGAUGCAGCUGAAAGUGUUUUCUCAGCCUUUUACAUGAUCCAGGCUUAAAAAAUGAUUCACAAUCAUUUUCAUUUGCAAAUGGUUGUUUGUCUGCCUUGCACAUGUGUAGUCAGAGUAAUAGACGUACAAGUACAGAUCCUACCUAGUUGUGCAAAUCCCAUUUGUUUCCAAGUUUAAGCAGUUGUGCCCACACUUUAAAGGUCUGUUUUAAAUCCCUUUGAGCGUGUUACUGAGACAUAACUGUGAAUGUAAAUAUUAGUUUAGAAAAUAUCUAGCAUAAAAGAAAGGGUGUGAUUCAAUUACAUCAUUAUUAUAUUGCAGUGAUGAUGUCUGUGAUAUCCACUGUGAUGUGAAAACUGAAUUGAACAAAAAUACAGUUCAUUUGGCUCUCAGUUUCUCAGUUUUUUAUUGUUAGAACAAAAUGUUCAUAGAUUUCCACUUUGUUUUGUGAAGUUUGUAUAUAGCUUGCUAAAAAAAAUAAUGGUUUUUAUAAACUCUUUUGACAGCUCUGGCUGGAAAUUAGAAGCAUUGGGACUGCACAGAUGAAGGUUCCAGAGAGAUUAGAAACCAGGAGUUUCAUUUUGCUGCUCUGAUUCACGCUUUCUUCACUUCACUUGGGGACAGCACUGGAGACAGGAAUCUGAACUGACUGCCUGGUGCUUAAAAAGGUGAAUAAUGACUCGGAGAAGACCUUCCUCGUAUCUUUUGAUCUUUGGGCUUCAGACACCCCUUCACCCAUAAUUAACUUGUGUGUUGACUGAUUACUUGAGCGAUCGAGGGAGACUCAGUAUGUCAGUGGAAACCAGGAAACUAUUACUCUAUGGUGAAACAGCAAUCAAGCCAACUCGUCUAUGAUACAAAUCAGAUACCUGUGAGAACAAGCCACGUAAUGGUACAAAAGCAAAUAAAAUCCCAAAGAGAAAGGAUUGAUGUUUUAUUUAUGUCUAAAAUGAAGAAGCCAGCUCAAACUUGCCAGGAGAGGGGAUGGCUGGAGCAAACACUUCAUUCAUUGAGGUACGUUCAAAAGUCAUCAACUCUGUCCUUAAUCUGAGGCUCUUUCUGAAGUGAGCAAAAGUUUUGCCUGAAUAAGGAACUCAGGUAUUGGUAAAUAAAUUUGUUUUUGCUCUUUCUGUUUAACA